This 3141-nucleotide long non-coding RNA is filed under the name Canis lupus familiaris (dog). RNAcentral's name for it is "lncRNA (ENSCAFG00030023023.1)". The record is from RNAcentral. Lineage: Eukaryota; Metazoa; Chordata; Mammalia; Carnivora; Canidae.
AUGAUGACUUUUGCCAGUCUUAGGUUUAUUGUGCUUUCAGUUACCAGUGCCGUUGUUGAAUCAGGGAUGUCCACACUAGGCAAAAGAAGAAUCAUGCUUGGAAAAUGUGACUAUGUCGGACGCCUGGGUGGCUCAGGGGUUGAGUGCCUGCCUUCAGUCCAGGGUGUGAUCUUAGAGUCCCACAAGGAAGCAAUUCUCUAUGUCGAGCACAUCACGAUCAAGUCCCACAUCGGACUCCCUACAUGGAGCCUGCUUCUCUCUCUGCCUGUGUUUCUCCUCUCUUUAUCUCUCUCUCUCUCUCAUGAAUAAAUAAAUAUAAUCUUAAAAGAAGAAAGAAAAUAUGACUAUGUAAUAUAACUUGUUUGAAUCAAAUUAUCUUUAUAUACUCCAGGAUUUAAAGAGAGGUAUUGAAAGAAUCUGAGGAUUGUUGCAGUGGGUCCAGUGGUUUAUUGUUUUCCUAAAGGAGAUGUAUGGUUCAUAGUUCUCAAGUGGUCUAGACAAUCAAUGACAUGGGGACCUCAGGUGUCUCUGUGGAAGCUGUAUAUGGUGGAGAGGACCUCAAAUUUUCUGAUUCUUCAAUUCUCAAUGCUCACCAAUGUGGUUCCAUGCAAAAAAAUGGGAUGUACCUCUUGGUUAAGACCAUUUAUUUGUUUUUCAUUAGACAUUUUAAAAUAUAUCAUUUUACUGGUGUUGUUGUAAUUGCUCAUUUAUCCAUAUUCUAUAAGUUUAUUUGGGGCAUUCACUUGGGAUUUAGCCCAGUGUUUUUGCAUUAACCACUGUGUUUCUGUAGACACAUAAAUUUUGGAAAUACUGUGACAAAGAAAUGCCAGUCAGCGUGUUAUGUUCUAAUUUUAACGUGCUGAGAGGAAGAUAUGAAACAUGAGCAAAAGAAGAGGGAAAACCAGGAAGAAAACAACACAGAACCAGGAUCGAAUAGGAAGAAGUAUCUCUCAAGACUUAUGUUCCACGUAUCGCACCUACAUCCUUUGAAACAUGUACUAAUGCUUCAGCAUAAGCUGUAACGUAAUGUGGUAAUUACCUUGGUUGCCAACUUUUUAUUAAUAGGGAAAACAGAAGGGACACCUGAGUGGCUCCACGGUUGAGUGUCUGCCUUUGGGUAAGGGCCUGAUUUCGGAUUCCCAGAAUCAAGUCCCACAUUGGACUCCUUGCAUGGAGCCUGCUUCUCCUCCCUCUGCCUGUGUCUCUGCCUCUCUCUGUGUGUCUCUCAUGAAUAAAUAAAUAAAAUAUUUAUUAAAAAAUAGAGAAAAUAGAAGAGUAAAGAGAAAGAAUUCUUCCUACUGAAUAUACUCGGUGAAAAGAAAAAAAAAACUAACAAAAUUACAAGAUCUGUCUCUAUGCCCUUCAAAAUUUCUAAAACUGAGUUGGAAGGCCAAAUCAGAACAAUAUUACCAUUACCUAUAGAGAACAAACAAGGCUGUUGGAAGGAGAGGGGUAGGGGGAUUGGGUAAAUGGGUGAUGGGUAUUAAGGAGGGCACUGGUGGUGAUGAGCACUGGGUGUUGUAUGUAAGUGAUGAAUCACUAAAUUCUACUCCUGAAACCAGUAUUACACUACCUGGUAACUAACUAGAAUUUAAAUAAAAACUUGAAACAUAAUUUAAAAAGAACAAUAUAACCUUGAUAUAAAUUCUGAACACUACAUGUGGAAAUGUUAAGAGGAUAAGGAGACAACAGAGUAAAAGUGUUCUGUAAAAUUAUACAUCAGGUAAGUAUAAGGAGUGAUUAUGAAAUAUUAAGAAUAAGAAUACUAAUUAUCUUUAAGUUAAAAAAAUAGCUUUAUUUUAUUUUUUAAAGAUUUUAUUUAUUUACUCAUGAGAGAGAGAGAGAGAGGCAGAGACAUAGGCAGAGGGAGAAGCAGGCUCCUCACAGGAAGCCUGAUGUGGGACUCUAUCCCAGGACCCCAGGAUCAAAACCUGAGCCAAAGGCAGGUGCUCAACCACCAAGCCACUCAGGUGUUCCUAAAAGAAUAGCUUAAAAUAACCUAGAACUACCUAGAAAAAAACAUGCUAUUUACUGUAAGAAAUUUAUAGUUUUUAAGACACUUGCAGGAUUUCUAUGUUGUUUUCAUGAAUGUUCCAUGUAAUGAAUAUUCAUCUUUAAAUAACUCUGGAAAGGAAAUUGAGGGGAUGAAAUCAGACAGGAUAUCAUCUAUUCUACCCAUGUAAUUCUACAUAAAUUUACUGGAAGGGAUUAGGAAUGCCUAAAUUUUACUAAUUCCUGUUGAUGUGAAGAACACAAUCACUUUCCUCCUGGCAAGUAUUUUGCAUACUGGCCUGGAUUUUUACUCUAGGGCAGGUAAACACCUCACCUUGGGGGAGAGCUAUGUUGCUGUAAAGAAAAUGAAUUUCUUUAUCUAAUACUUUUUUCUUUUAGCUUUUUUAUUUUACGUUUAUAGCAGCAAACCAUCUGAUUUUUCCCAAGGGACAUUAUUUAUGGUGGCUUUCUCUUGCUUCUAGUUGUCAUUUUACAAAUAUUACUAAACUUGAAUUAAAGUAGUAAAGAAUAGUCCAAUCUAAUUUCAAAGAAGUAACACAAAUAUCUAUACUGCAAGAACUCAGAGUACUAUAUAAGCAUUGUGAAAAAGUAGAAGGAAAGAUUUCUUCCACCAAGUCCUUAAAUUCAUUUGUAUUACUAAUUAGUGUUAAUCUAUUCCUUCUCUGUAAUGUUGAGUAUUUAACCCUCAGAAUCUAUUUCUCUAUUCCAAACACCACACACACACACACCCCUGCACCCUCCCCACCAUGAAAGAAAGGAAAUACACAUGUACCAAGAUAACAAGAGAAAGUCUAGAAUCUUUACAAGGUAAUAUUUUUUUGAGAAUUAAAUAAAUCAAAAGGCUAAAAGAUUUAUUUACACAGAAAACUCUUUUGACUAUACAUGUAAAUAAGACCAAUGAAUGGAGUUGGUUGAGUGUUUCUUAAAAUUUUGUAAAAACUCUGUGCCCAUAAUAGUCUAGCAGUGAAGAUGAAGAAGCUAAGAUCGCUUCUGAAAAAGAGCAGCAGGGCUGAUCAAUAAGAAAAAACAUACAAGCACAUGAGAAGGGCAUUGACUAGACUGGAUUGAAUUUUUUUCAAUCUGAUAGAAUAGAGCAAUACAGAAAUCUCCUAUACAGUUAUUAUUCCC